GUUAAUGUGGCAGAUAAGUGCAAUGAAUUUAAGCUUCAUUAAUAGGGUUAAGCUCUUUUU
Molecule: transfer RNA, 60 nt
Filed under: Leiobunum flavum
Lineage: Eukaryota; Metazoa; Arthropoda; Arachnida; Opiliones; Sclerosomatidae
Description: partial tRNA-Leu
Source: RNAcentral